This 30655-nucleotide long non-coding RNA is filed under the name Nicotiana tabacum (common tobacco). Its description in RNAcentral is "long non-coding RNA (NTAB_LNC008934)". The record is from RNAcentral. Lineage: Eukaryota; Viridiplantae; Streptophyta; Magnoliopsida; Solanales; Solanaceae.
GCCCUUUCCGCGUUCGUGAAGAAGGGGAAGCUGGGCAGUGUCUUGUUUUAAAUUGGGACUUAGGCUAUUUUUAGCUCAUUUAUUGCACUCUUGGGCGAUUCUGGAGCUUCAAAAAGGGGGAUUUCAACCUAGCUUUUGAAGGUAAGUAAUUCCUACCCAAUGUGAGUUUAAUACAUAGAUUAUGGGUAAAUUUUAACUUGUAAAAUUGUAAAAAUUAUGUGUUUAGAUAAAAAACCUAGGUUUUGAUAAAAAUGGGAUUUAACCAUGAAAACGGUUAUGGAAUUGAGUGAAAAAUAUAUAUUUGAGUUCGUGAGGCUAUGGGUAACAUUUAUCUUCAAAAAAUUUCGGAAUCCGGGUACGUGGGCUUGGGGUGAAGUUUAGGAAUCUUUCAAUUGGGGUUGGGUAAUCACUCUAAUAGUUAGAAUAUAAACUUUUGAGCAUGUAUUGAUUAAUCUAUAUAACAUUUGACUAGUUUUGGAUUAUUUGGCACCAAGCUGAGGCUUUAGAGCGAAAUUGUGACCGGAAAGUGAGCCUUGAGACGAGGUAAGUCUCUUGUCUAACCUUGUAAGAGGGAAUUUACCCCAUAGGCGAUUUAAAUUUAUGUUUGCUUCUAGUUGUAGGGGCUACGUACGUACGAGGUGACGAGAAUCUGUGCGUAGCUACUAACUAUGCUUAUGUCCGAGUGGUCUUAGGACCCAAAUCAUGAAUUAUUUAAGAUGUUUCCAUCCUACUUGUUAAUUAAAGUGCCUAAAUUAUAUUGGAACUUGUUAGAGGAAUUGUGAAAGACCGUUAAUGGAAUUUAUAUUACAUUGUGUAUUAGCCUUUAAUAAUGUUUAAGUCAAAUGUUUAUAAAGCAUCCUCUCUUCUUGUGGAGUGGGCCGAACGCCUCGGUAGUAGAUAGAUGCAUCUAUAGUUCGUGUCGCUCAACUCUCGGCAGUGUACACAUUAUUCUAAAUCGGGUCCUACGAUCUCGGCAUAAUCGUGCGUGAUAACACUCGAUGUGUAAUCAUAUAUUUGAUAUCCUUCCCUGACUUGAGAGCCAAAAAUAUUAUAAGAUGGAAAUUUAUUUGGAACUUACCAUGUGUGAAAGGUUUAUUUACUUUUGCUUAUUAUUAAGUUAUUGUUAUUAUAUAUAUAACCCGUGCUCAUUUAGAAUUUCGUAUUUCUUUACUAUUAGCCCAUAGUAUGUGUCGAUGUCGACCCCUCAUCACUACUUCUUCGAGGUUAGACUUGAUACUUACUGGGUACAUAUUAUUUAUGUACUCACACUAUACUUUUGCGCUAAUCAUGCAGGAUCUGAGGCAGCUGCAUCUGUCGGUCCUACCGGCGCGCGUCCCAAAUAUCCCGAGGCCUAGUGGUGAGCUGCUUCCCGAGCCGUUCUGCAGCCCCUAGAGUCUCUAUUUUGUAUUUAUAUUCUGUCUACUUUAUUUCGGACAGUAGAUAGUAUUUUGUAUAUUCUACUAGUUGCUCAUAUACUUGUGACACCAGGUCUUGGCACACACACUAGUAGACCCUAUGGUUUUGGAAUAUUUACUUAUUUAUGCUUGCAUUCAAAUGCUUUCAUUUUAUUCAUUUGACUCUCUAUUUCUCAAAUUUCUAAAUAAAUGGAACUUAACUACUUGUAAGCCUGUCAAAAUAAGUAAUCACGUAGUAAAUUCAUCAUAGGCUUGCCUAGCGGCGACAUUAGGCGCCAUCGCGGCCUAUAGGUGAAUUUAGGUCGUGACAAUAAUAUUCCUACUAAGGCAAGACCUUGCCAAAUGAAUUCAGAAUAUUUGAAACUAUGCAAAAAAAUAAAUUGAUUCUUUACUGCAUAAAGGUCUUAUAAGACCUUCAAAGUCUAAGUGGUCUUGUACUGUUUUUUAUGUUAAUAAAUAUGCUGAACAGGAACGAGGAGUUCCUAGGUUGGUUAUUAAUUAUAAGCCCCUUAAUAAGGCUUUAAAAUAGAUUAGAUAUCCAAUCCCUAAUAAAAAAGAAUUUAUUGGAUAGAUUGCAUGAUGCCAUAAUAUUUUUAAAUUUUGAUUUAAAAUCUAGUUAUUGAAAAAUUCAGAUAUCUGAGUUAGAUAGAUAUAAAAAUCCCAAUGGGUCAAUACGAAUGGAAUGUUAUGCCUUUCGGUUUAAAACAAUGCCCCUUCUGAAUUUCAGAAAAUAAUGAAUGAUAUCUUCAUACCUUAUACAAAUUUUAUAAUUGUUUAUAUUCAUGAUAUUUUAGUAUUUUCAAAAAAUAUUAAAAGUCAUUUUAAACAUCUAGACCUUUUUAGGAAAAUUAUUAUUCAAAAUGGCUUAGUCAUAUCUAAACCAAAUAUGGCCAUUUUUCAGACCAAUAUAAGAUUCUUAGGUCAUAAUAUUCAAAAUGGAAGAAUAGUUCUGAUUCAAAGGAGCAUUGAGUUUGCAUCUAAAUUUCCUGAUGUCAUAACUGAUAAGACUCAACUCCAAAGGUUUCUGGGAAGCCUUAAUUACAUUUCUCCUUUUAUAAAGGAUCUUGCUAAGGGUACUUCAAUUCUUUAUGAAAGAUUAAAGAAGAAUCCAAAAGCAUAAACUGAUGAUCAUAGUAAGUCAGUCACACGAAUUAAGCAGAAGGUUAAUAAUAUUCCAUGGCUUACACUUGCUAACCAAUUUUGGGCAAAAGUAGUUGAAAUUGAUGCCUCAAAUAUUGAAUUUGGUGGAAUAUUAAAACAAUGUUCUCCAGUUGAUAAACAAGAAUAUUUGUUCAAUUUUAUUCGAAAAAAUAGAAUAAUUCCCAAAAGAAUUAUGUUAUUGUGGCUAAGAAAAUCCUUGCCAUAGUGAAAUGUGUAUUAAAGUUCCAGACUAAUUUAUACAAUCAGAAAUUUUUAAUAAAAACUGAUUGCCAAGCAGCGAAAUUUAUCUUUAAUAAAGAUUGUAAACAUGAUGUUUCUAAACAGAUAUUUGCAAGAUGGAAAGCCUUGUUAGCCCCAUUUGAUUUUGAGGUUAUUUACAAAAAAGGGACAAAUAAUAGUCUCCCUUAUUUUCUUACUAGAGAAUUUUUGAAUUAAUAAUUCUUUUAAUUUUAUGACACGAUAUGAGACCUACAUAUAGGCCUCCUCGAGGGAGGAGACGAGGAAGAAAACUAGAAUCUUCCUAUGGCAGAGGAAAUAUCCUAGCCCAGAUAGGAAAUCGGCAGCUAAUAGCUGCCAAUAUCACAGGGACAUCAUGUCUUAAUAUAAAUCACCCAAUAUACAAAGAAUUUCUGAAUUUUAUGAAAUCCAAACAAGACAUAGACAACAAUCCUCCAUCAUAUUCCUCAGCAUUGCAGAUGAUAGCGAUGAUAACAUUGAGGUUUAUAACCAGAAAGAAAAAAAAGAGUUAAUAAUUCUUUUGGAAAAAUCCGAUCUAAAAUGGAAGGAUAACCUUUAGCAAAUCAUGAUCAGGUAUUUUGAUUCUAUUUCAUAUACUACCACUUCAUACAAAUACAAAAUGAAUUGCGAGUUAAUUCUUUCAUUACUGGUUCAGCUGAAAUUCAGUAUUUUUAUCCAGCAAAUACAAGAGAAUUUAUAAUUUCUCUAAAAUUAUUAUAAAGAAGGUACUAGCCUCAGAUGAAUAGGGAAUGAGUAAAUUAAAGGAAAGAGAAUAUACUCAUCCAAAAUAAAAAGUCUCGGUAAAUUUUAAUUACUGGGAUUAUAGUGAAAGUUUUAAUAAAACUUUAUUAUAUGAGAAUCCUAAUAAGAAACAAUAUUGGUUCAUAAAAUUUUGUUCGUAUUUGUUUGAACAACAGAAACCAAAUUAGUUUUGUAAAUGGUGGAUAUCAUAUGGUCCAUCUUUGGAAAUACUUCCGCCAAUUUUUAAGAGUUUAUAUACUCAAUGGGUGGAUAUAUCUACCAUGAUCAUUGCUUUUCAAAAAGAUAAUAUCUUUCGAUGGCAUAGCAACUAUGUACUUUUUUAUAGAAUUCUCUAUUCCAUGGAUUAUGAAAUGGGAUGUGGAAGUUAACCAAACCAGGGAAGGAUUCCCAUGUUUAAACAGAGGUUUUUAUAAAAAAUUCUGGAAUAAAUUAUUUCAAGCAGACCAACAAGGAAAGAUUUAUGGUCAAGAAAUUAUUGAGGAUAUCCAAAAGAAAAUUGAAGCUUAUAGCAAACAGGAACUGACAAAUGUUAAAGUGGAAGAAUUAAGUUCAUUUCAGCAGCUUACUAGAAAGCUCCAAAUGAUAAAAGGAGUUGUUUCUAAGAAGGAAAUUAUUGCUUCUUAUUUUGAAGAAAUAGAGAAAGAUAUAAUAAGGAAUUUUGAAGUUGAGAUGUCAGAUGACGUGUCAACGGUAUCAAUAGGUAAUACCACAGAUGAAGAAACUUGUAGGGCAGGAAAGACCCAAGGAAGCCAACAUGAACAAGUUAAUUUAGAAGAAAUUGAAGAAUUUCUAGCCAAAAUGAAGGAAGGAGUAGAAGAAUCUUCUACACCACAAAACAAUAAGGGAAAAGGAAAAGUUGUUUAAAGACACAAGACCCCAUCGAUCCCAUCUCUCAGAAUUAUUGGGGUAAUAGAGACAAAAAAAACUUUAAUAAAGCAGUGGGACCUUCUGAUAAAGAGGAAUCAACUUUAUAAAGUUGUUUGUUUUAUUACUUUUUCUCUUUUUUUCUUUGUCGGCCAUAGUAUGUAAUUAUUUUAUCGUCCAUUUUACUGUUUGUUUUUGUCCGUUUUAUCAAGAGAUCUAUUAUAUAAGGAUCAAAAAUUCAUAGUUAGGAGCAGGCUUUUCUUUAGCCAGGUUUUAAGAACUCUCUCUCUGUGUGUAAAAACAGUCACUUGGCCACAACCGCGACAAUCUCAUAUACUUUUUAAUUUUAGUCUUUUUAUAAUUAAGAUAUUCAUUUAGCCUAAAUGAUAGGCUAAAUAGUGUUGUGUUGAAUUUAUGCAUACUAGCCUAUUCUUAAAACAUAUUUUGUUGCUCGUUUUAUACUGUAUCACCCAAUGGUUCUGAGGUUGAGACUGUAGAGUCUAGGCAGUUUAACAGUUCGGGCAGUAAACCUUAUUUAUGGUAACAUAACCGGUGGUCCUUAAGACUCGUAUUAGCCAGGUGGGCGUUGAGAGAGUCAUGAGGAAGACAUGUGUGUGUGUGUGUGUGUGUGUCUAUAUAUAUAUAUAUAUAUAUAUAUAUAUAUAUGUGUGUGUGUGUGUGUGUGUGUGUGUGUGUGUCUAAAAUCUAUUUAAAUUAUGUCUUAAAAAUACCAAGUGGCAUUUUCUCAAUGCACCACUAGCCUUAACCUCACGUUUCACUGCCUACUUUUGAUAUAAUAUUGAUAGAUACAGAUAUCUAGCUCGACUAUCUCAUUUUAAUACAAUAUAUAUUUUUAUUGUAUUUUUUCUUUAGCCUACGGCCCUGCGAUACCUUCAACCAUUAAAUAGAGGGUCAAUUGGGUCAAUCUUACAUAUAAAAAUAUGUAUUACAUUAUGUUAGGUGGUUAACUUCCAAAUAUUAGCUGGAAUAUGUUAAAUUAUGAAAUGAAUCAAUGAAAAUUAUGUUUAUUAUAUUAUUUCUUUUGUCAACUGCUUCCUUUGCUUUAACUUUUUAUUUUUGCUAGAUUGUCAAUUUGUCAUUGACAAUUUCUUUCAUAUUAGUUCUAAUUAAAAUUUACCAAUAUAAUAAUGAUAUAAAAAUUUAAAAUAUACUCAUGUAUGACAUGAUAGUUAUUAGAAAUAAAAUAAGCCUUCUCAAUAGUAAAUGCAUAAUAUUAGAGUACAAUCAUAUAGUUCAUUAUAUAUUUCAGGGCGUAUUAUAGCUAGAGAUUUUUUAUUUACAGUCGCGCUUUUUGUUAUUUUUUUAUUUUAUAAUAAAACCCAACGGGUAUGUUCAUAUUCACAUACAACAAAGGAAUAGAAAGAAAACUUGAUGACUAUUCAAGGUUUGAAUAAAGAAUUUAGUAACGAAAAAAAUUCUCGGUUAAGAAAUGCAGAUUCUUACAUAGUAUAAUUGUAUGUACGUGUAUACAACAAAAAGUAUAACUGUAUGUGCAUCAAUGGCGAAGCCACAUUCGUCGAAAAAUUGCACUGUAUACAUAGAUAAAAUAUUACGUUUUAGAGGUAUAUAACACAUAUUGAACACCCUUUGUCGGAAAAAAAUUUCACUUCUUUUAAAUUUGAACACCCUUAGAAAAAUUCUUAAUUUCGCCACUGAUGUGCAUCUUUUGAGAUUCUCCAUGUAUUUAAAAAACUAAAAUUGAAUGGAUGUGAGAGAUUUCAUGCAAAAUUUGAAUUAAGAUAAACUUUGGGAGGGAAGGGCAAGACUUUGACUACGCAUAAAUAAAUAGAAACCCGUGUGAAUUUACUGUGUGCUACCCUCAUUUGGUCUAUUGUGGCCAAAAUCAGUGUGGUAGAAAUACCUUUUCGUUAAAGAAAUUGUUGGUUUAAUGGCUGCUUAUUUAUUUAACAAGAUUCACUUUUUGAAAUAUUAAAUUUAGUCUCGUGAUCGAUGAGGAUCAAAUCUUGAGAAAGACAAAAUAUUAAUUGAAACUUAGUGCCACUGUUUGCAUCUUUAAAUGUUACCCAUUUUCAUGUGAAAUAUUAAAUAAUUAAUAAGAUAUUUGAUCUUUCCAAAAAAAUUCAUUAUUAUUUUUUGUUUUUCCUUAUGACAGUAGAGAUACUGUUCGAAAAACUUUCGACUCAAGAGAAAUAGAAAUGAAGCAAUAAACCGACAAUAGCAAAUAAAAAUUUUGACGGACUCAUUAAGUUAAAUGUUUAGAUUAUGAUUCUUCCAUUAAAUAAGCAAAAAAGUUCCUUCACUAUACUGUAGUACGAAAAAAUUACUACAACACAUGAUUCUCUUUCACAUGUUUAUUUAAAGACAGGAAGCACAACUCAUCGUACACAUUAAUUAAAUAUUUAGCCCCACCAUUCUUGUGCAUUUAAUUCUUAGACUAUAUUUUAAAACAUUACUACUUCUGACAAAUUUAAUUCAGUGGGUUCUUCGAGGCAAAAUUAUAAUAUACACCAAUCGGUAUGCGUAGUACGUUCAAUAUUAAGUCUAGCAAAUCACUUUGAAGGAAAUGAAAGUCAAUAGAACGUUGACAUAUAUUUGCACUAAAUAAAGCAAAUAGAUUUAGGAAAUAAAUAUAGUAAUUUAGUUUGUGGGCUAAGGUAACGUACUUAGGAGAGAAGUUUGGUGGCUAAAUUAUAAAAACAAAACGAGAAAAGGAAGAUCACUACUUUUGCAUUAUGUGUUGAGUUCAUAAAUCAUAACUUUAGGAAGAAAAAGAUAUUGUACAUCGUGGAAAGCAUGAUUAAUGGAGAUAUACCUAAAACCUUUUUGUUUUUAUCUGCUAAAUUUUAAAGAAUUGUAAUAACACAGGAAAAGAUUAGGAGUAGCAGAGCUAAUUGCAUGUGAUUAAAAUCAUUACUUACUGAUUGUUUCUACGGCAAAGGUCCAAAUAUACCCCUCUAUUUUCGAAAAUGGUAUAAAAAUACCCAUCGUUAUACUAAUGGGUUAUCUAUACCCCUGCAGUUAUACUUUGGGUUCAAAUAUACCCUCAUUUAAACGGAAGGACAUGUGUCAUCGUCUUGUCGGUCAAUUCUAAAUACCUCCUAAUUAAUUAAAAAGACUCAUUACCCAUACCCGAAAAGCAAUUUUCUAANNNNNNNNNNNNNNNNNNNNNNNNNNNNNNNNNNNNNNNNNNNNNNNNNNNNNNNNNNNNNNNNNNNNNNNNNNNNNNNNNNNNNNNNNNNNNNNNNNNNNNNNNNNNNNNNNNNNNNNNNNNNNNNNNNNNNNNNNNNNNNNNNNUAUUUCUAUUUUAGUAAAAAAACAUUCAGUUUUCCAGUUUUUACAAAAACAUUGCUUUAGAAAAUUGCUUUUCAGUUUUUACAAAAAUAUUGUUUUAAAAAAUAUUUUUCAGUUUUUUUAAAGCAGUUUUUUUGUAAAAUUUGAAAAAAAAAAUAUUUUCGUUUUUUUCAGUGUUUAGUAAAAAAAAUUCAGUUUUUUCCAGUUUUUACAAACAAAAAAAAAAUUGCUUUAGAAAAUUACUUUUCGGGUAUGGGUAAUGAGUCUUUUUAAAAUUAGGAGAUAUUUAGAAUUGGCCAACAGGACGAUACAUGUGUCCCUCCGUUUAAAUGAGGGGUAUAUUUGAACCCAAAGUAUGACUAUAGGGGUAUAAAUAAUCCAAUAAUAUAACGAGAAAUAUUUUUAGACAAUUUUCGAAAUUAUAGGGUAUAUUUGGACCUUUGCUCUUUUUGCUAACACAAGUUGAUGGUGGGGAAAAUUAAAAAUUCAAUUAUCGUACAAAGACUAAUGUGAGCUUGAACUAUGAAUUGGAGUUAUCUUAGUUUUUUAUUUUACUUUUAACGGCAUGCUUUUGUAGCAGUGCAAAAUCUCAAGUUCCAAAAGAUUUUCUUUUCUUCGUUCUAUUUGUCGACAAAACAUGAAUCGAAAGGAAAAAGUAAAACUAUCAGCUUUGUUUUCAAAACAACACACCACUUUAAGAAUGCUAAGGAAUUGAAGAGUAUACCUAUCAUAAUAGUAACCUUUCCUUGGUUUCAUCACUUGUCGUUCCUAGUUAUUUGGGAAAAUUAUAUUGUAUAAUAGUUCUAAAAAAUAAUAGCUGAAAAAAUAUAUAAUUUUUAUAUAUUAGUGUGUAAUAUGCAUAUCUUAUACAAAAUCAGUGUAUAUGUUUUGUAUAUAUGACUUGUAGACAUACUUAUUUUAGGCCGAUCGGCCAAAUAUAUAAGUUGCCCCUAUAACUUUCAAGUAAAAUUUUCAUGUGGCACCCAGCUUUGCGUCAUCUAUUGAAUUUGUUCCGAAAAGUUUAACUAUUACCAAUUUCUGGAUAAAUUCAGAUACAUACACGUUUCUUUUCUUCUUUACAACAGUUUUCUUCUUCUUUGUGCUUAGAGUUUCUUUUUCUUUUUUCUUAAAAUGGGUUUGUACGUAAAUGUCCGGACAAUAAAUAAAGUAAAGAUAAACAUGAAAGCAAAUGGAUUCCAAAGUCGACGUGACCUUUAAAUUAACAAAAUUGGGGAGAUUUUCUCUAUAUUUCCUUACUAUUAAAAGGUGUGGAAGUGAUCUUGAUCUGGAAAAAUUAAGUCGUCCUCUCAUAUGAAUUCCAUAUUAAUCAUGUUAAUUAAUUGAUAUGUUUAAAGAAAAAAUAAAAAAUUGAAAGUAUACUUCAAACCGAAAAUAAUAAAUAACAAAUCCACAAUGGUAGAAUUAAGAGACAAUUUUCUUGGAACAUGAGUUAGUGGAGAAAUUGAACGACUAUGUUUUCCAUAAUUACUUGUUUUGUCCCAUAUAAUCUUCGUCAAAAUGGAAAUUAUUAUAUAACGUAUAUAAUUUAGAACUUAAUGAUGAUUAUUAAAUUUCAAAAUUAAUCAUCAGCUUAAGACAAUGGCAUUUUUGAAAUUUGUACAAGAAACAGUGGCAUUUCCAUCUCAACAUGUUACGAGGCAUCUGUAUUCGCUUUAUCUCUUUUGCUUUAUUAGCCUACUCACUUUUUUGUUUUUUUCCCAAAAUGUUUUCUUUCUUUAUAUAGUUAGCUAUGGUAAUGUUCCCAUUAACUUUCAAAGUGAUUUUCAUUCGAUUAAAGAGAAAAUUUAAAAUAUUAAUUUUGAAUAUUAUAUGGGUAAUGGGUUAUGGUAAGGGUUGGGUUUGAUAAAUUAAUCGAGUGUAUUAGUGUGUUUCCACGUUUCUCUUUUAUUAUUGAGAUUUGACCGUAUGUCAAACUGAAUGCAAAAAUAAUUAAGGACUCGCUUGGCUAUAAAAAAGAUUUUUUUUAUUUUUUAUUUUUUCCGAAGUAAGUGUUUGGUCGUGAAAUUUUAAUUUUCACUUGAAAAUAAAUUUUAAAAUUUUUUUAAAAUUUAAAAAAGUCCAAAAAGGUAUUUUUCAAAAUUUCUUACAAAAAUUAAAAAACAAUCCAAAAUUAUAUUCAUGUCCAAACACAACUCUAAUUUUCACUUGAAAAAAUAUUUUACUUUUUUCUAAAAUUUUACAGUACUUAUGUCCCAACGCCCACUAAAUGUGCAACUAGAGUAUUUACAAUGGAAUAAAUAUGACUAUUUUUCAAAAAUAAUAGUAGUAGUUAAGAGAUUAGUUUUAUAUACAAAAUGUAGAACUAAAGAGAUAUAAUUAACUUUUUCAUUGUGCUAUCAUCUUUCUAUGUUAAGUAUUUAGGAUGAUUAAUAUAUGUAAACCGUGGUAAAAAGAGUAUGAUUUCAAUUCUAUUCCAUACUUAUUGGUCUAAAUACUCAUCUAACUAUAUCUAUUUAAAUAAAAAAACAAAAUAAAGAGUUUUGGCACUUUAUUAAGAAGAGAAAUUGGCGUCCGAGAAAUAUUACUAUAUUCAUGAUAUCGAAAAUUAAAUAAACAUUAAGGGAAAAUGAGAACACAUUAAAAGAAAUUGCAAUUACUACAAAACAUAUCACAUGCAUUACGAAUCCAACCAAAUAAAAAAAAAAGAAAAAAUUUGUUGCUAAUACCAAAUGAAAACUUUUAAAAAUUGGAAGUUUAGUUCAUACUAUAAAAAAGGAGUAUAAAGGAGUUUGCAAGACCACCACCUGUGUACUAAAGGAAUGUAGGAAGAACAUCUUUCUUUUAUGUCAACAACACAGGAAUAUGAUUCCUCUAUUCUGGAUAUAGAAAGUUUUUACAAUUAAAAUAAAUCACCAAAAUAGUUAUAUUUAAAAGAGAAAAAGAUUCUCGUAUGAGGUUUACACUAAAAUUUAAAUUAAUAAAUACAUAAAUGGUAUCAUUUACAAAUAUUUGUAUCACUAAAUUAACUGUAGUUAAUUAAUAUGUAUAUUGAUAUACAUUCAUCACGUGAAUUCAGUAAAUUAACGUGAUUUGAUGUAAAUAUGGCUGGCAAAUUUUCUUCUUUUGGCUUGUUCUUCACCCACUAUGAAUUUUCCAAUGGGAAAUUAUUUUAGAAAAAAAGAGGAAAAUUUUGGCAUAAAGUCUUAAAGUCGUUAACAACUUUUUCCCUUGUUUCUUUGUCCCUUCGUUUAUAGAAAAACAAUUGUUAUACUUAACCAAAAAGUUUAUAUAGUAACAUCAUUUUUGAAAACUUAAUAAAAGCAGAUUGGAGAGCCUUUAGUAUUUAGUAUUUACACAACUAACCCUUCCCUCCUCUCCACCAAAUGAUAAAAAUACCACUUAUAACUUGUUUGGAUGGCUGUUAAUUAUUGUAUCGUAUCGUAUUGUUAUUUUAAAUAUAUGUUUGUUUUAACUUUUAUUUAAAUUUUAUUGUAUCGUAUUUUUAAAUUCGUCGUUACGUAACAAAGAAAAGUGUCACUUUAUGUAACGACCGAUUUGAUGUGGUCGCGUUUACCUUAUUUUUCAUCUUGCCUUUUCAUAUUAUUAAAUAAUCCUAUUUAUUCUUUAUCAUACAUUUUUAUAUAAUAAUUUCGCCUCGUAUCUCGCUUUCAUUGUAAUAUUGCAAGUUUUUUUUUCAUAUUGUUGGUGCAUGACAUCAUAAAACAACAACAAACAUUACAAUCUAUCCAAACAUUGUAUAUAUCAAAUGAUACAGUAUAAUACAAUACGAUACGAUACGAUAUGAUACUUAUGAAUCGAUAUAUAACAACCAUCCAAACAAGUAAUAAGAGGUGUUUGGGCCAAAACAUUUCUUCUAACAAACUAAUAUAUGAACAAAUGCGAAGCGACUUACGAGUUCAAAUUAAGUUAAUAAAUUCUAAAUUAAUAUUUUUAUGUAUUCAUUGAAUUUUUUUUACGACAAAUAAAGGUUCGAUCAAAACAGGUGAGUUCCACCCAAAUAACCUAAAGUCUAGCUCCUCAAACUACAAUGAUCUAUAGUUCUAUACACAUAUUUAUUUUAUAAAACAUUUCAAAAAACCCUAAAAUAAAAUUGAAGGAAAGUUAGAACAGAGGUCAUAUCACACAGCAAAUCAUACAGAUAUUAUGACCCACGAAUAAAGAAGUAAAAACACAAAGUGUCAAAAAUCAUAUGAAUAGUAAGAUAAGGGAGUGGCACUUCCGUAAAUAAACAGAACAUGAAGGGUAGAAAGUUAAAAAGCGUCGUAUUCGCAAACCUCACCAUAUUCUUUGCUUUUUGUUCUUCUUUUAUGGGCUUUGCUUUUCUUCUCUUUAAAUCUGUUUUGACCGUUGCUUUCUCUCUCUCAACGUCUCUCUAUCUCUUUCUCUCUCACACAGUCACACACUUCCCACUGAUCAAACUCCAGUUGGGUUCAUCUGUAUCUUAAUUUUACUUCACAUUAUUCUCAUCUUCAAUUUUACCAGGUACGGCCUUAAUAUCACUACAAUUUCCGUUUUUGUCUUCUAUUAUAUUCAGUUUAUUUGUUUGGUAGAAGGAUAUUUCAGGAAAUGAAGAAAACCUGAAAGCAAGUCCAGUUUUUUCGUGUGAGCUUCGUUUUUUUUCCUUCUUUUUUGCGGAUUUUAGUAGCUUUUUUCUGUUCAUGUUUGAUUUUAGGAAAUGCGAACAUUUCUGGGGUAUUGUUUGUUGCUGACUGUUGCAGCUAAUUAACCUGGAAAUAUUAAAAUGGAUCCUUUUUUUGUGUGUGUAAUUUAUUAGCUGAAUAUACUGAAACCAAUUGCUAUUUUUGCUUAUGACCUUUUAUGUUUUAUCUCAAUUUUGAUGCCUAAAGGGUGCAUUGCAAACAUAAUAUUUAGCUCUUACAAUUUAUUGGUAAAGUGUGGUUAGUAUUACAAGCUUCUCUAGAGGAUUUUCAUUAUUUAAUCUUGAGUUUUCUUUUGUUGCUUAAUCAGCUUUACCGGCUUAUUGAGUAGUAAGCACAAAUUAUUUGCUAAAUUUGCUCUUAUUUUUCGUGAAUGAUCUACUGAUAAUUAUAAUUGCCUUUUCAAACAGAAAAGUAAGGUAAAAUUGCUACAUUGAGUUACAAUCUGUUUUCUCUUAAGCUCUAAUCAUAGUAACAGUUAAUACUUAUUUGGAAAAAAAUUCUUAGGUUCAACACUACUUGAAAUGAUUUUUGAUCACUUGGGGAGAAAGCAUUUCAAUUCCUGUAAACCAGAUAUUGACAAGUGUGUUCAAGUUUUCUCUUUUCGAAUGGCUUAUAAACAAGGCAAAGAACCUAAAUCUAACAUUAUUUCCAAUAAUAUAUGCAUAGAAUAGUUUGCUGUUUUGUUUCUUUUCUUGUUGGUUAUAUAUCUUAUGAUUCUCUCUGAGAAUGAAGCUUUCUGAAAAUCACUUUCUCAUUUUGAACAGUUUGCUGGUUUCCAUAUGAACCUGGUGACCAUAUUAAGACGACUUGAUCUACUUUCGUCUUUUGAUUCAAGCCUGAAGAAUUCUUAGAGUAAUAGAGAGAGAUAAAUCUAAAUUUGAGAGAAAUGGGAUGUUCUUCAUCCAAGUUGGAUGAUGAAGAGGCCGUUCAACUUUGUAAAGAUCGAAAGAAGUUCAUUAAACAAGCAGUGGAACAGAGAUUGCGAUUUGCUUCUGGACAUAUGGCUUAUGUUCUUGCCAUGGAAAGAAUUUCUGCAGCCCUUAAAGAUUAUGUUGACGUCGAUGAGCCUCGCGAGUUUUUAUUGGAUUCGUUUAAAACUCCACCACCCUUUACUCCUAUUAAGAAAGUAAGUCCAGGUUUCAUCUCCAUAGAACCAAAAUCCUUUUCCAUAACACCGUUGAAGUCUGAACCCAAAACCAAAUCCUCUAUAAAAAUAAAUUAUCUUAGGUCAGGUGGGAACCCUGCUGUUUCUGUUGAAGAAAGACCUCAGUCACCCGAAACAGUCAGAAUUCAGGCUUACUCCCCAGUUCAUCAAUAUGGGAUGGAUAGUUUCUUUUCUAUGCAAUCCUCACCAAUGAACUCUUCGUUUUUUCAGCAUUCCCCCAACAAUAGACCUAACUUUCCUCCCCCUUCGCCACAAACAUCACAAUGGGAUUUUUUCUGGAACCCAUUUUCUUCAUUAGAUUAUUAUGGUUAUCCUAUGAGAAACAGUAUUGAGCAGACAAUUCUCGACAAUGACAAUGAUGGGCUAAGGCUAGUUAGAGAGCAAGAAGGAAUUCCUGAAUUAGAAGAGGAAACGGAGGUAGAAGAGACCGAUCAUGGAGAGGAUGUGAAAGAGGAGAGGACCAAAAUCCGUCACAAUUUUGAUAAAGAUGAAGUUGUGGUGGAAGAUGUCGACGACGAUGAUGAUGAUGAUAGCGAUGAGGAAGAAAUGGAUGAUGAACACGAAAAUGUUCCCCAUAUUCAUGAUUUACUAUCUAAACCCAACCAAACCACAACAGUCGCAAAGGCACAGAAUGUAGGCCAACUCAGCAAUAAAGAGACAGCAGUUGCCGAUCCUGAAGCAAAAGAGGAAACACCUGGAUUUACUGUUUAUGUUAAUAGAAGGCCUACAAGCAUGUCAGAAGUUAUUAAGGAACUUGAAAGUCAGUUUAUGAUUGCUUGUAGUUCUGCUAAAGAGGUGUCAGCUGUGUUAGAGGCUAUCAGAGCUCAGUACUCAUUGCAAUCGAAUGACCUGUCACGUAAGGUUUUUCAUAAAAUGUUUACAGCAUUUAUCCGAUUUUCUUAUUCGUCGUGACUGUGCACCGUAAGUCAAAUAGGACAAUGAGGAGGAUGUAUGAAGAAAGAUUAUUUAUUGAUGGCGUGGUGCCACAUAUGACAAAAUAUAUCAAUGCAGUGAAACAACAGUCAUAUUAUUGUAGCAUGUUUAAUUUUCAAAGAGUUAUGUCCCUGCAUGUUCCAAGUAGCAUGAAAAGGCUAGUUUUAUGGCUUCUAGAUCUGGAUUUUCUUUGAGGUCUCUUGCCAAAACUAACUGAUAUAUUUCAGGAGAAAUGUGCAAAAUUCAACAGAACAGUAUUACCAUUGCAUUGUAAGAGAAGACACUGAGUUUCUUUAUGCAUGAACAAUCUAAAAGGAAGAAUUUUCUUUCACUUUGAAGCUCAAUGUUCUUCAGAAGCGGUGCCUGUUUUUCCUUUUAGAAGAAUUAAGCUCAUGCUUAUUAUUUCUGAUUGUCGUCAAUUAAUCCUAACACCUCUAGAUUCCUCAUUCAAAGGACUACUACAUAUUUUUUGGUCAAAGUUAUGAAGUAUUGACGUUUGAAUGCUAAUCAGCAUAAUUUUGUUUGCAGCCAUGAAAAUGUUGAAUCCUGUAGCUCUAUUUCGCUCAGGGUCAUCAAGAUCAUCCUCGUCAAGAUUUUUGAUUGAUCCUUCAACUUUAAGAGAUGAGGGUUAUCAGAGCAGUAGUGAUGUGUCUGAUGAAUCCAACAUGUUCUCAAGCAGUCAUCAAUCAACCUUGGACAGAUUAUAUGCUUGGGAGAAAAAACUAUAUGAUGAAGUCAGGGUAUGCUUUUGCUGCUAAAAAAAAUUAAAGAUAUAAAUCACUUUCAACUAGUUUCUGUUUAAAAAUAGGAUGAGUCUCUUAACCUGUUAGAAAGAGAAGAAUUCAAAUAUGACUCCUGAGCAAGAAGAAUAAUUAUCGUUGUUCAUUCUAGAAAUAACAGGAACCACAAGAAAUGCAUGUAUGAAUGAAGUGAAUGGGUGCAUGAAUUACCUUUACUUCAACCUGUUGGAAAGAAAGUGAAUUCAAAUAUACCCUUUUGCAAGGAGAAUAAUUAUCAGUGUUCAUUCCAGAAAUAACAGGAAAAUGCAAGACAUGCAUGUAUGAUCACUUAAACGAAAUUUUGGUUUAAAAUUUCUUUUAACAUGUUAGUUUAUCUGACCUCCCAAACAUGUUUUUCUUAAGUAACAUUGUCCUGUUAACCUAAGAUGUUAAUUGUGGGGAUCAGUCAUUUACUGUUGUAAUGUCCAACAGGCAGGUGAGCGUGUCCGGCUAGCGUAUGAGAAAAAGCUGGCACAACUCAGAAAUCAAGAUGUCAAUGGAGCAGAUCCGUCGUCUUUGGAUAAAACAAGAACAGCCAUUAGGAAUCUGGAUACUCAGAUAAAGGUCUCAAUCCACUCUGUUGAAUCUAUUUCAAGAAGGAUUGAAACUUUAAGGGAUGAAGAAUUGCAGCCUCAGCUCUUAGAAUUAGUGCAAGGGUAUGUAUCUGAUAUCCCUGUUACUAAGGUUCUUCAGCUAUAUCUAUACUUGUCAACUCAUUCCAAUGCUACGAUUAUUUUGUUGUUAAAGCUGGCACCAUAUGUACAUGCAUAUGCACGUAUGUAUAUUAUAUAUAUGUUACAAAAAGAUUUUUAUUUGGAAAAACUUGAAAAGGUUCUUUAAUGCAAGAAUUAGGUAAUAGACUUAUCAAAGAAAAAAAUAAAGAAACUUAUGGAGCUUCUAAAGACAGUUUACAUUGUUCAACAAAUUGUUACCAUCAACAACAACAACAACCCAGUAUAAUCACACAAGUGGGGUCUGGGGAGGGUAGAGUAUAUGCAGACCUUACCCCUACCCCCAGAGGGGUAGAGAGGCUGUUUCCGAAAGACCCUUGGCUCAAGAAGAAGAAAAAUAAAUAAUAGACAAUAGGUCAUUGACAACAAUAGAAGAUGAAAAAUAUUAACAGCAUCGUAAGAAGUAGAAAAAUAGAUGUAAAAGCAAUAACUAUAAACAACAAUACUACCAUAGAAAAUAGUGAGGAAACUACAUAAACCACUAACNNNNNNNNNNNNNNNNNNNNNNNNNACCGGAAUAACCCUAAUCUACAACCCUAAUGCUCGACCUCCACCCCUUCCUAUCCAGAGCCAUGUCCUCGGAGAUCUGAAGUCGCGCCAUGUCUUGCCUGAUUACCUCACCCCAAUACUUCUUAGGUCGUCCUCUACCUCUCCUCGUACCUGCCAAUGCUAACGUCUCACACCUCCUAACCGGGGCAUCUAUGCUUCUCCUCCACACGUGCCCGAACCAUCUAAGCCUCGCUUCCCGCAUCUUGUCGUCCAUGGGAGUCACGCCCACCUUCUCCCGAAUAUCUACAUUCCUAAUCUUAUCCAGCCUAAUGUGCCCGCACAUCCAUCUCAACAUCCUCAUUUCUGCCACUUUCAUCUUCUGGGUAUGGGAAUUCUUGGUUGCCCAACACUCAGCCCCAUACAACAUGGCCGGUCAACAAAUUGUUACCAUCAUAGAUCAUUAUUGUCAGUUUCUCAGUAUAAGACAACGCAACAACAAAAGAGCUCCACCUAAUUGAUUUUUAGUUGCUUUUAUGUCUGCUACUGUAGUUGUUUACAAUUCUUAUUAGAUAUCUUUCACAUCAAAGUUCCCUAAAUAUCAAAUUUACCAGAUGGAUUCCAAAAGUCUUGAGUUUCUUGCAUAUUUAGAGCUUCAGAGAGUCUUUUCCCUUGGUUUCUAUUUAAAUUGAAAAGAUGUUCCCACAGUUCUCAAUUUGGUUUUUUCAGACAAUUAUGAUUUGGAGCUAAACCUUAUUAUCAAUUAGUUUCUAAAAUAUCGGAUUUGUAAUUCGAAGAUCAAAAUUGGGUUCCUUCUGCUAUCGAUCAUAAACUGGUAUUUGCUCUAGUGUACGAAAGACUUACAACAUAGCCCGUUGAUGGCAACAACAGGUUAGGAAGAAUGUGGAAGGUUAUGGCGGAGUGCCACCAAAUGCAGAAGCAUACUCUAGAUGAAGCCAAGCUCUUACUCGCUGGAACACCUUCGAAGAAGUCCGGCAUGAGGAAGUACACGGUCAUGUCACCUUCUGAGGCUCAUAGGCUAGCCCGUUCUGCUGCUAACCUUGAGAUGGAGCUGAGAAACUGGAGAGCCUGUUUCGAGUCAUGGAUCGUUUCUCAACGAUCAUACUUGCAUGCUUUAGCAGGCUGGCUUUUACGAUGUACUCGUUCAGAUUCUGACACAUCAAAAUCACCCUUGUCUCCUCCUCGUUCCACGGGAGCUCCACCAAUAUUCAGCAUUUGCAUCCAAUGGUCCAGAUUAUUGGACUCCAUCCGGGAGGCAACAGUACUUGAAGGACUAGAUUUUUUUGCAGCAGGAGUAGGCUCACUCUAUGCACAACAACUAAAGGAAGAUUCCCGCCGGACUCCUGGUGGGUCAAAGAGUUUUGGCACGGAAUCUUUUGGGAGUAUGGAGGUUGUGGAAGCUGGGCAACAUGACGAGGAAACAAUGACAGCAGAAAAGAUGGCAGAGGUUGCCAUUCGAGUGCUAUGUGCCGGAAUGUCAGUUGCUGUGAGCUCACUGACAGAGUUUGCCGUAGCUUCAGCUGAUGGAUAUGCUGAUUUGCUAAAGAACUAUGAGAAUACCAAGCAGCCACAACAGCAUUUGAACCAAAAUGCGGCGUAAUUUUAUGUUAAAACAUUAGGUUAGGUAGGAAGGAAUGCCAUGUAAAUUACAUAUUUGAGCAAUUUAAGUCAUAUAGAGGUGCCUUAAUAUAUAUUUGUAUUCAAUCUGAGCUUCUGAUUAUGCAGAUCACAGAAGGAAUAGAAAGUGAAAGUAGCUUUCUUUUAUCUAUUAUAAAUAGCUGUAGAUUUAAAUCUAUACCAACUUUUCAAGUUUCGUUCCAAUCCCAUUCAUAUCUAAGUAAACCUUCAAUCUUGCACUAAAAAUGCUCCUUUUUUUGAACUCAAACAAAAAGUUAUAUAAAACCGAAUGAGCAACCAACAAUCUUACAAUUAAAUUAGGACCAUACUCCCGAUAGAAAGAACUACCAUAAUUUCAAGACUCUUUUGCUAAGCAAUAAGCAACUAAAUUUGCUUGCUUCUUAACCAAACCAGAGAAAAAACACUCAAAGUGCUUUCAAUAUACGAAUUCACACAAUAUGUUGAAAAGAAUAACUUAUUAUAAACUCGCUUAAAUUAACAACUUUUUUGUCCAGACUAGUAGUAAUAUCUAUUAAAUUCCACACACACAUAUAAAGAAAAUUUGGAUCAAGGAUUUUCAUCAAUCUAUCAGAUUAAUGAAUUUCAAUUUAUUUUAGUCUUUCACUUCGAUAGUUAGAGUUGCCAAAGAAGAGUGACAACUAGCCAAGCAAGUAUUCGGCUUAUUCCAUUCUAUUUGACACAAAUUACUUGUUUAAGCCUUAUCUUUUGUUAAAAGUAUUUGAUAUCUCCUAAAGCAAGCCUCCUUUCUCAUUAUUUGUUAAUUUGAGUGCUUCCUAGAAUUUGCCUAUUGGCCUUGGUUCUUUAGUUAUGUACGUAGUAAUGUAAAGAUUGAUAAAUAAAGAACACAAGAUUUAACGUAAAACGUAAUCCGACUCAAAAGGUACAAAAAUCACGACCUACUCAUAUGAUCAGCUUGUUUGGAUGGUUAUUACCCAUUGUAUUGUAUUGUAUUGUUAUCUCAAAAAAAUAUUUGUUUUGAUCGUUUCAUUAAAAUUGGUUGUAUUGUAUUGUUAAAUCCAUUAUUUCGGAACAAUGAAAAGUCUCUUUUUUUUAAACAAACCAAUUUAGUGUGGUGAGAUUGUUUCCUAUUUUGCUUUUCAAUUAUAUCCUAACUUAUUACUCUAUAAUUCUAUUUUACCAUUUACCUUUUUUUUAUUUUAACUCAAAUCUCAAACCUAUAAACAUACUUUGUCUUAGUCCCCUUUUUUUCCGGAACUUCUGCCGCUUCCAACUCCAACAUAAAAGAUAUAAGUUUUGCCUUCUUUUUGUUUCAAUUUUUCUUCUAAUGUGAUUUUAACUCCAAUUCUAAUUACUUUAAAUUCAUUGUUCUGCCAAUUCUCGUUUCUUUCUUAUCAUAGUUCUUUAUUUUUUUUCUAAUGAUAGUUAAAGACAUAUUUGGUGAUAAAUUAGUAGAAAGGGAUUUUCUUAAAUUAUUUUAUGUGUAAUUCAUGAUAAUUUUAAUAUUUAAAUCAUUGAGGGUAUUUUAGUAAACUUAUCAGUUACAGUUAGGGAUGUUCAUACGCUACCAUCCUAGGGGGAGGAUCUAUUAUCUCUCUACCCAGCUCCUCGUCUAGCAGCCAAGAACAAGAGAGCUACAACACUCAGGUUGUUGAAUGAUUUAGGAUCAGAUGAGAAAACCAACCCUAGGAGAGAGGCUCAAUAAGAUAAGUUAAUCGGAGUUCCCGGAAGGAGGUCCCACCAUUUACUUGACUCUUAGAACCUUUGUUGGUUUUGGGCAACGGGGAUCAACUUCCAGGACAGGACCAAAUCGAAAACCCGAAAAAUCGAACCAAAUCGAAAACCCGAAAAAUCGAACCAAAUCGAAAACCGAACCAAACUGACCAAAAAUCAAUACUUUAGGUUUGGUUUGGUUUUGGUUUGAAUUUAAAACCGAUCAAANNNNNNNNNNNNNNNNNNNNNNNNNCAUUCUAGUUUGAUUGGUAGUUUUCUUUUGCUAAGUACAAGAAUUUAUUUCAUGUUAAAAAUAAUCGAUUUUUAAUUGAGUACUUAAAUUAUUCAUCGCUAGUUGAUUCAAUUAUCAUCAAUAUAUUUUGGUAAAUGAUAGAUUUCUCAAAGAGCAAUUGGUUUGAUAGUGUUACGUUGAAAAUGUAGUCUCCGAAAUAUGUGUUUGGUAGUGUAUGUCUCAUAUUUAAGAAAAAAACCUGAUAAAUAACCGAAAAAAUCGAAAAACCGACAAAAACCGAAUCGAUAAAAAACCGACUUAAUUGGUUUGGUUUGGUUUCAAUAUUUGAAGAACCGACUUAGUUGGUUUGGUUUCUUUUUAGAGAAAAACCGAACCAAACCGAACCAUGAACACCCCUAGUUACAGUACAGUACGAUACAGUCAAACCAAACAGCAAAUAAUAUAAUCCAUCCAAAUAUUGUAUUUAUAAAACGGUACAGUACAAUACAAUAGAAUGCAUUAUAAAACGAUGGGUAACCAUCCGUUAACUCAUACUCCACUAAAACAAAUGAGUCGAAAAGGAAGUUUAGAUUAUAACUAUUGCAAUCUAAGACCCAAAACCAACCCAAAAUAGUACCACGACUAUAACUAUUCCAAAGUAUUAAGUAAUCAAAGAGUACAGCUCGAUAACUUAAUACAAUGAACUACGACUCAACUAACUUGUAACCAGAUAAUCUAAUGAGACAAAUCAAUCAAUGAUCUAUACCUGUUUUCCUUAAGCAAAGACGUGUUAAUUGGCCAUUAGUUCGUAUUCAAUAUAUAAUUAAGGAGAUAAUCUAAUGAGACAAAACUCUGCAUUAUUGGUCCGAUGUUUGGUUUCUCUACGUUAUUUUAUGUCGAAUUCAAUACUCUGUACAUCCAGAUUCUAAUAUAAAGAGAACCACAGAUCUGAUGAUAAAUACAAUAAUCCAGUGAUUAUUAAUGAUUGUAUUACAAAAGCUACAUUCUAAUCCCUGCAUAAUUUUUCCAUGAAUCAAAAAAGAUAGUCUGGUGCACAAAAUAUCCCGCGUUCACCUAGGGUCCGGAGAGGGCCGCACCCAAAGGUAGUGUGACGUAGGCAACCUACCUUGAUGCAAGAAAGGCAGUCUGAUGCAUAAAGCAUUUCGCGUUCACGCCCAGGGAAGGGUCGCAUCCCAAGGAAGUGUGAUGUAGGCAUUCUACCCUGAUGCAAGCAUCAACGGGUGAUUCCAAUGCUUGAACCCGUGACCUUAGGCGCGGAGCCAGCCCUUCGGAUACGGGUUCGGCUGAAUACAGUAAGUUUUGUCCAAACCUUGUAUUUGCCUUAAAAAAUUAUUGAAUUAUGCACAAAUUAUUAAUUUGAACUCAGUAACUUAAAAAGAAUUAGAAUAUUGAACCCAUAAGUUUUAAAUUCUUGGUCCGUCUCUGCGUGACAGAUACAAGUUGACCGUUACUCCAAUGCUCCCCUUCAAUUUUUCCAUGAAUCAAGAAACCCAAAUGUUUUGUUCAUCAUAAGCUGCUGGUUUUAGUUGCUUUAACUCUUAAAUAAGUAAUUGCAGCAAUGCCUUAUCCCUAAUAUGGCUUCAGAAUAUCAGAAUUAUCAUGACAAACUGUAAUGUCAUCUCAUAGUAGAUAACCGUUCCAAAACUCAACAGCAAUUAUCUUGUAAGCAUACAACAUGAGGUAAAAUUCUUUCCAUCAUUCAAACUGAUUGUACAACUUUUGUCUAAUGAUCAAAAUAUGACAGAUUCCAUUACAGAAGCAUCAACAACUAAUCGUAUAUAAGAUUACAUAAUCCAAAGUAUAUCAAGACUAAAGGGUAGCCUGGUUCACAAAACAUCUCGCAUUCACGUAGGGUCCGAAAAAAGGCCGUACCCCAAGGGUAUAAUAUAAGCAGCCUAACUUAACACAAGUAUCAAAGGUUAAUUCCACGACUAGAACCCGUAACUUAUAGAUCGAUCACAUGGAGAUAACUUUAUAUCAAGCCUGACUGAGUUUGUUAGAACACUCGGGACAUUGAAAAUGUCCUCUAGCUCGACAUUUAGUACAAAAAGAGGAUCCUAUUUUUGAUUUAUUCUCCAACUGAAUGAAAUUGAAUGGUCCUCCUUUAAUGACACCAGAUCCCUUGCAGCUUGAACAUGCUAUCAGUCUCAAAUCUCCACAUCUUUUACACAUCCCUAGUGAGCUGCUCAUAGAAAAAAAAAAUGCAGCAUAUAAUUUAAUUACACCCUUUUUUAUAGUAAAAGAUUUAAGACGCACUAUGGACUAUAAACAAAAGCAGCUGGAUUCUUGAUAAUAUAAAAGAGCUAUGAACUAUAAUUCCUUAAUAAGGAUAAUAAUUGUAUUCCUAUCGUUUCUCUAAUGGAUAAAGACCAUACCAAAAAGAAAAGGCAAAUGAUAGAAAACUCAAAAAGGAAAAACAAGUGUAAUAUGAUAGAAACAUAUUGCAUAUAUACCUACGCUGAGAGGCAGAGAUGAAUGAAUCAAUUUUGGGAGCAUAAACAGUGGCGCCAAGUAGAAAAGCACCCACUCCAAAUCCUGCUAUUUCACUUGCUGUUAUGUGUUCAAACAUUUCUCCUUCUUUUCUGCUAAACAAAUGCAAAAAUAGAAAGAGAUGAUAUUUAGAAAGGGAAAUAAGGCUCUCUUAUCCCUUCGGGUAGAAUGGAUAAGAUAUUUUUCGAUAAUAGAGCAAUACAAGCACAUGUGCACCCGAACACUUGGGUGCAUAUAAAUAAGGAGAAAUGUCAACUCGGCAUAUCUUAUGCACCGGGCUAUUUUUAAAAUAAAAUAAAAUAAAAUAACACCGAGUAACCAUUCUAUAAGACUGUUAUUUAGAAAUUAUUCAAUAUGUCCUGAAUUUUAAUUUUUCACUUAAAUUUUUUAUGGUACAAAAUUCUGAAAUUAAAAUUUUUAUUUAAAUUUUUAUGACAAAAUAAAUAUUGGUUAAUCCUCAAAUAGUAGCCUAAGAAAGGGUAUUUGUAUACUUCCCCCUUUUUAGAGCAAUAGAAGCACACAACCUAAAGUAUUAAUCUUGCAGAUUUAAUUUUUAGCCAUCAACUUUACAAUAUUUUACAACAUAUACUUAAGUUAAAUCUCUACGGUAGGACAUGAUCAAUAGUUUCAUUUUUCUUACAUACACUGGUAAGGGAUAGCCCAUGUUGUGCAUGGGCCCAAUAACACUAUUACCUAAAAAUAGAAGUCAUAAAAAUGUGUAUGAUAGAGUUAGAUCUAGUUCAUCUCCCAAAUAUACUAAAGUUAUUUUUAAAUCACCUAAAGUCGUUAAAAAUCAUAAUUUUAUUGGUCCCACCUAUUUUGAAAAUUAAAGUUUGAAAGGAAUUUGUUUCAUGAUCAUGUUGUGCAAAUUAGCAGGAGUUAUAAAAUUUUCAUUUAACUUAAAAGCAUUUACAAUCUUCUUUUGUUGCAAUGUCAAGUUAUCUAACACAACGACAAUUAGGUUCACAUUUAAUAUUACCUCAUAUUACCUCAUGUAUAAAAUAGAUGUCGUUUUGAAUUUUUGGUAAGAAAAUCAUAUAAAACAUGUAUUAUAAGAUUUAUUUGAUUAAGUUAUGCUUUAAAUUAUAGUCAAAUUACUCAUUAUACUCCGUAGGUCAUUUAUUAGAUCAACAUAGAUUUGGGGAAACAUGACUAAUGCUGUUUUAAUUUUCCAAAGCAAAAUUUAUCUACGAUUUUAGCUUUAUUAUGAAAUUUCAUACUACUGCACUGCUACUUUAUAGGGAAAAUAAUCCUUUGAUGGGAAGAAGUUUAUGUUUAAAAAGAGAGCUUUUGAGAGCACAUGAGUCCAACUAAUUAUUUGUACAAAUAUUAACUAUUCAAUUUAAGUUAAUACAUAUCAAAUUAAAGUAUAUUCUUUGUGUGAAAUUUAUGAGGUUAACAGCAUAAAAGUACUAUCACUUAUUGGCCCAUGGAAAAAAAUCAAAAUAUUUUACUGCUACCAUAUUUUCUUAAACUUUGAAUUUUGAACUUACCACCUUGAUUUUUUUUUUGUUACUUUUUUGUUACUCCAAUUAAUAAAUAUUCAUAAGAGAGAAGAUAAAUCCAUAGCAGAAGUCUAGUCCUUUAAUCUAAAAGGUAAGAUGUACGCGCGUAAAACAAUCGAGUAUUAAAUUUAGUUUUGUUUUAUUUCGUAUGAUUUCUUUUGAAUAUUUUUGUAAAAGAAUGAAAUCUUUGUACGAAAUAUUGAAGGUGAAAAAUAGAAAGAUACAAAUAUGCAAUAGCCAAUCGAUAAAAUAAACAUAGGGUUGGACUACUUUGUGUGUCAAUGAAAGAGGGUCUUUAGUGUGUCAAUGAAACAGCAGGGUCCCACAUGGAAAGUUGAGGUGGACCCCAUACUUCCAGCAAAUUUACUGUACAAGUAAUAAAGCUAGUAAGUACAAUAUCUUGAAUGCAUAAAAUUGUAAAAAUUCAAAAUUAUCCAUAUGCCAGGCAGACAUGUUGAUCAUGGGUUGCCUGGUUAUUCCCAUUUAGGGGUCGUUUGGGAUGAGGUAUAAGAAGGUAUAGUACUGGUAUAAAAAUUUAAUACAAUUUAAUAAUUUGUUUGGUUAGCAAAUCGGGUAUAAGUUAUCCCGGGAUUAAAAUUAGUAUCGGGAUAACUUAUAUCUUAUUCUUAAAAAUUUUGCAAUUGUCAUUUUUAAUACAACAUAACAAACAAUGGAUAAAAAAUAAUAUUAGGAUAACUAAUCUCAGUAUAACUAAUCACAACAUAACUUAUCCCGGCAUAAGCUGUAUUCAAACCAAACGACCUCUUGGAGGAUAGUGAUAGAUUAUAUAAUAAAAGUAAAAGUUGGGUUAUAUUUUUGUUCAAGUUUACAAUUUUAUCAUAUAACAUUAUUGUCGAUUUUUAUUUUAUUUUACCGUAAGUUAUUUCAAAAGGAGAAAUGGAGAAUGAGUAAAAUUAAUAAAAUCUGGUUAAAGAUACAAAGUAUAAAACUUUUUAUAAGAAAAAUUCAUGUUUUUCAAGAUAAAACGAUCAAAUGAACUGAACUUUGAUCAAUAAUGAUAAAAGAAAUUUAUUUAAUUACCUAAUUUAUACUGGGAAAAAACUAAUUUAUACGUUACCAAUUAUAUUGGAUGUUAAGACAUAAAGAGCUUUUAUGUUCUCAAAUUCAUACUUUCAUAUGUCUAUGUUUUGUUUAUUUAAUCACUUACUAUCCGACACUUAAUAACUCGAUUAAUUCGAAUUUUGUUAUAAAUAGUAUUUUAUUUAUGGUGAAUGUCUAUAUUUUAGAGAGAUUUUAGAGUUUUUUACUUGGUGGCUAAGUCACAUUUUUUCUAUAAAUAGAGAGUUUUAUUCUAUUGUAAUUGAUCCCUUCAAUAAGAAUUCCCUCUUUCUCUUUCUAUGCAAUAUUUUUCUUCUUCUUUUAUCGUUUUAUAACACAUUAUCAGCACGAGACUCUAACCAAUUAAGUAGAAGCUUUGGGAUUGAGCAUAAUGAUUGCCAAUUGUUCCAUGAACUUCCUUCAUGAUUAAAUUCUGAAUUUAAAGUAAGUAUUUUACUUUAUUUUUCUCUUUUGAAUUCUUGAAAUUCUAUAAUUUGAUUUUUNNNNNNNNNNNNNNNNNNNNNNNNNNNNNNNNNNNNNNNNNNNNNNNNNNNNNNNNNNNNNNNNNNNNNNNNNNNNNNNNNNNNNNNNAAAUUCCUAUGUCUUGCCAUGAUCAAAUUCAUGCAUGAUUGUGAGCACAAGAAGUGAAAACAUGUCCCAUUGAAUUUGCUUCAUUCUCAUUCUUUUAAAAAGAAUGUGAUAGAUACGUCUAAAAGAAGACAAAAUUAUUACCAUGAAUGUAUCAAUGGAUGUGAACGUGGCAAUAGACGAAAUUAUAAUCAUCAUCAUUGUGGUAAUGAGAAUAAUAAGUAUUCUCAAAAUAAUCCUUCACUAUGUGAAAGUAACAUUUAUCAUCGAUUUGACAUGAGAUUUUAUAAAGCACAUAUAUAUGAUUAUGGUCCAUUCAUGAUGUGAAUGUGACAACAUGUGAUUUAUGAAUACAUAUUCAUUUUUGGAAGAAUAUGAGUGUGCUAGUGGUAUAUACCACACUCACCUCUAGAAGGAGGUUUGAUAUGAUAUAAGAAAAUAAUGUCAUUAUUAUGGUAUGAAUGGUCAUUGGUCACAUACCUAUUCUACGCCAAAAUAUUUUGGUAAUGUGUUUAUUAAAGGAUAAUAGUAACGCAAGAAACAAAUCUUGCAUAUAAUUUUGACCAUGACCAUAAUGGUAUAACUUUCUCUUUAAAAGAGAUAUUCAACAUAUGGAUGUUGAUGAAUAUGUGGUAGUACCAAAUUAAUUGAGAGCUCUGAAAGAGCCAAUUAUUACUAUUUUGGAGGAAUAAAAUUAAUUAUCAAUAAGGCAUUAUGUUGUAGUAAGUCUCAAAGAAACUUAUUGAGUUUCUAGAGUAUUCGCAAAAGCGAUUGGUUAUAUUGAGACUAUAAAUAAAGGAAAAUUUUAAUAUCUGAUAUUACUACAACUUGUAGCGGGUGAUAUGUAUGUGAAAAGCUACUUAUUUUAUUCUUCAGUUUGUACUACACAAACAAAAGAAUGCCACAAUAAAGUAGAUGUUUAUUGAUAUAAAAACUCAUAUCAUAAUAAACUUGGAGUUUAUUCAUAAUUGCACAUGUCAUGAUGUAAACCUGAAGUUUACUAAUACAGAUAAUUUUAUCAAGCAUGGCCUAUUGAGCAAUCUUGAUUUAGAUGCGCAAAAUAAAUGAGAAUUAACAUGGGUAAGUGUUGAAGAUGAUUCCUUAUGAAUUCUCUUAUGUUGCUUGUUCUCGCGAUUACUAUACCAACUAAAAUUUGGAUUGAAUCCCUUGAAUUAUGAAAUUUAUCAAAGGUGAAUAUGGACUCAUUCACCUGCCAUGUAAACCUUAUAAAGAUGCAUCUAUGAGAUGGUUACAUGUGCGAUUAUUAUUAACCCGCAACUUAGUAUUUGUGAGGUAACUUGCUCAAUAAUUUAAUUUAGAGCAUAAUUUCCAGAUUUUCUAUUCAAGACAGUUCAUCUUGAUAAGUUGGUUUACAUCAUAGUUGGUUUAGCAAAAUAAUUUAUUGAGUGCCUCCACUUAAUAGUUAAACUAUUGCUUAUGAGAACAAAGUUAUCUACAUUAGUUUGACAUACGUUAUACACGAAAGUAUAUUACAUUCUCCCCUCACAAGUGGUUCAGGGUCAGGAACCAAAUAAUUUUAUCUUAUUAUUAUUGAUGUGCGGUGUAUAUUUUGAUUAACACCAUAAUGCACAAAGAUGAGUUCCCAAAGUUGAGGAAGCAAGUUAGUUUUUCUAACAUGAGGGGGAGACAGGAUAAAGAGUUGAGAAAAAGUUACGUGGAAUAAAUUAUCAUUUCUACAUCUAGAUCCUCGAAUAAGAUAAUAUGAACUUGAAGUUCACAAAAAGAUAAUUCAUCUGUAAUAUAUUGCAAAGCAUGCAAGAUGCAUUUGCUGACCUAAAGAAAAUAACUAUAUUCUCACUGAAAAUGCUCAUAUUAAGUCCUAGAAGGACAAAGUCUAUGGUACGCUUAAAGCAUAUAGACAAAUCGGUUUCAAAUAAACUUUUUGAUAAAGAAGAUGAGCAAAUGAUCAAAAUGAUCAUAAAGGAGGCAAGUGAUCUAGAAGAUCACAUGACAUAAAACUUCAUAAAUCUCAUGAGAGAUUCAGGUACCUGAAUAUAUGAAUGAAGAGAUCUCUAUAUUAUGUCUUUAUAAAAAAUAAGGAGGUUGGAACCGAUAUAAAAUAUUUGUCGACGACAUCUAUAAUAGCGCUAAAUAUAUAUGAGGAUCUUAAGUCUGGAGAAAUAAUUUAAGUAGAAUUGGUUUCAUAUAAAAGACAUGUAGUUUUGGACCUGCAGUUCAAACACUUGAAAGUAUAAGGUCAAUGGUGUGUGCAAUCACCUUUAUCUAUCUUAUGUCUAGUAUGACAGGAAAACUUGAUAUAAAUCUAAAGUCUAUAUGCCUAUACUUAUAUGAUAAUCCCUGAAGGAUUUCAAUUGCUUGAAGUAUAUACAAUUCUUGAUCUUGAAGUAACACAUCCUUAGUACAAUUUAUGCACAAAUGUAUCUUGCUAUAACUAUAAGUAUAAUAAUGUGAUAGCGAGAAUUUUUUACCUCUAUGGAGAUAUUGAAAAGGCCAUUCCACGGCAGUUUAUGAAGACAUUAUAUAUCUAUCAAGAAUGAUGUUCAGUCAAGUUAAUAUGACUGAUUUGUGUAUCAAAUCUCUACCAACGAUAUUUUGAAGAUGGUGCACAAGAUUGGAAUGCGAAGACUCAAGGAUGUGAAUUGAUGCUCUCAUCAGUGAGAGUUAAUACGCGUUGUACUCUUUUUCCCUUACAAGAUUUUGUCCCACUGGGUUUUUCUUGCAAGAUUUUUAACGAGGCAACCAAAAGGCGUAUUUCUAAACAUGUGUACUCUUUUUCCUUUUCUAGAAUUUUUUUCCCACUGAGUUUUAUUUUAGUUAAGGUUUUAACGAGGCACAUUAUCUGUUGAAAAAUAUUCAAGGGGGAGUGUUAUAAAUAGUAUUUUAUUUAUGGUGAAUGUCUAUAUUUUAGAGAGAUUUUAUAAUUUUUUACUUGGUGGCUAAGUCACUUUUUUUCUAUAAAUAGAGAGUUUUAUUCCAUUGUAAUUGAUCCCAAAAUUCAAUAAGAAUUCCAUCUCUCUCUUUCUCUGCAAUAUUGUUCUUCUUCUUUUAUUGUUUUAUAACAAAUUUCAUAUUCUUAAACAUUUUCUAUAAGAAUUGUUUUUCAUUUUUAGAGGUUAAACCUAAGACCUCUUAUUCAUCAAAUGCGCAACCAAUGCAAGACAUAUAUAUACACAUAUUUUUAUUACUUAAUCAUAAUUAGUUGAUAUUAUUAUCACCUUAAUAUUAAUCAUUAAUGUAAAAAAUAUAAAUUUGGUGUAAGUACCUGGCGCAUGCCCACAUAUUUAGAUUAAAUACUUUAACAUCAAUAAGUCGCAUCUUACAAAUGCGACUUAUAAAUCACAUUCCAGUAUUGCGACCUAUAAAUCACAUUUAUGUAAUGCGACUUAUAAGUCGCAGGUAGCCCUUCAGCUUCAAAGAUUAUUAUUAAGUGUUCUAUUAUGCUCUGUUCGGUUUCUAACUUUAGACAAUUUCCUUACUGUUCAGUUCUAGCUAAUUUUCGUUGAUUACUGUGCUCUGUUUUGUCCAAAUGUAUAAUUUUCCGACAAAUUUAAGCUAUAUGCACUGUAAUUUAAUUUGUUAUUACUUACUAAUCAACUUUAUUAAACAGAAUUACCUAUAAAUAACAUUUAUAAUGAGCUAUAAGACCAAAUUUUCCGAAAUCUCUUCCGUAUCCAGGCUGAUAUUUGACCUUGGCAUGAAUAUGGAUACUUAAGGUUUAUGAAACAAGCUUAUUCUGCCACUGGUACUGUCCAUGAUAGCUUAAAAUGACAUUGAUCCAUUUUAUCUUUAAUAUUAUUCGUUUAUCACAAGGAGACUAGGCGUAACCGGUAAAGUUGUUGUCAUAUGAUAAGGAAGUUACGGGUUCGAACAGUGGAAACAGUCUCUUACAAAAAUGCAGCGUAAGACUACAUACAAUAGACCCUGUGGUCCGUCACGGGCAGAUGCGGACCUACACUUUACCGAGAGGGGUCACCGACAUCCGUAAAGUUUGGCAAAAAUUUCAUGUAUACAUGUAUAUAUAUGUCUUUAGAAAAUAGUGAUAUAUUAGUAGUAGGAAUCCUAUAAACAAAGUAGAUUUUGGUUGAAUCCAAAAGUGUACCCGCAACCUUCAAAAAUUGAAUCUGCCUCUGGACUCACGGGUUUGAGUCGUGAAAAUAACUUCUUGCAGAAAUACGGUGUAAGGUUACGUACAAUAAACCCUUGUGGUCUGACCCUUCCCCAGAUCGCUUAGUGCACCGAGCUGCCCUUUUAUUAUUCGUUUAUCAAUAUGGAAAUAGGAUUAUUGUUGCUACCAGGGAAAAGAAAAGAAAAGCAUGAUUGUACAUUAGUUAUUUUAGCAAACUAUAUAAUUGUUUUUCGUUUAAAUUGAAUCAUUAUGUGGACAGUUCAGUAACCACAAAGUUAUUUUUACAAACAGAAAACUUCAUUAGCCCAUAUUUUUACAGAUCACACACACAACAUUUCACUUUCCGGGUACAAAGUUAGUGGCAAAAGCCCAAGCAUUAUUGGCCACUGGGUCAUUAAUAUGGUCAAAGAGGUUCUCAAUUGGGCCUUUUCCAGUAACAAUAGCCUGAACAAAGAAUCCGAACAUUGAAAACAUAGCCAAUCGUCCGUUCUUGAUUUCCUUAACCUUUAGCUCAGCAAAAGCCUCGGGAUCAUCAGCAAGGCCAAGUGGGUCAAAGGCACCUCCUGGGUAAAUCUUGUCAAGACCUUCACCAAGUGGGCCCCCACCAACCCUAUAUCCUUCAAUCAAGCCCAUUAGGACAACUUGGCAUGCCCAAAUAGCGAGGAUGCUUUGGGCAUGGACAAGGUUUGGGUUGCCGAGGUAGUCAAGUCCACCUUCCGAGAAGAUUUGGGCUCCUGCCUUGAACCAAACAGCUUCACCGAAUUUAACACCAUUUUUUGAAAGGAUUUCGGGAAAGACACAACCCAAAGCACCAAGCAUGGCCCAACGGCAAUGGAUCACCUCAAGUUCACGGUUUCUAGCGAAUGUCUCUGG